UCCUUGGUGGCCUAGAGGUUAAAGAUUCAGCAUUGUCACUGCUGUGGUUCAGGGUCAAUCCCUGAGCAGGGAA
Molecule: transfer RNA, 73 nt
Filed under: Sus scrofa (pig)
Lineage: Eukaryota; Metazoa; Chordata; Mammalia; Artiodactyla; Suidae
Rfam family: tRNA
About the family: Transfer RNA (tRNA) molecules are approximately 80 nucleotides in length.
Source: Rfam by way of RNAcentral